GGCCGCCUGGCGAAAUGGCAUCGCGUCUGACUACGACUCGAUUGAAAUCAGGAGAUUGCAGGUUCGACCCCUGCGGUGGUCA
Molecule: transfer RNA, 82 nt
Filed under: Sphaerobolus stellatus SS14
Lineage: Eukaryota; Fungi; Basidiomycota; Agaricomycetes; Geastrales; Sphaerobolaceae
Rfam family: tRNA
About the family: Transfer RNA (tRNA) molecules are approximately 80 nucleotides in length. Their secondary structure includes four short double-helical elements and three loops (D, anti-codon, and T loops).
Source: Rfam by way of RNAcentral